ACAUCCAGAGAACUUUCCAGAGAUGGAUUGGUGCCUUCGGGAACUCUGGAGACGGGUGCUGCAUGGCUGUCGUCAGCUCGUGUUGUGAAAUGUUGGGUUAAGUCCCGCAACGAGCGCAACCCUUAUCCUUGUUGCCAGCGGUUAGGCCGGGAACUCAAAGGAGACUGCCAGUGAUAAACUGGAGGAAGGUGGGGAUGACGUCAAGUCAUCAUGGCCCUUACGAGUAGGGCUACACACGUGCUACAAUGGCGCAUACAAAGAGAAGCGACCUCGCGAGAGCAAGCGGACCUCAUAAAGUGCGUCGUAGUCCGGAUUGGAGUCUGCAACUCGACUCCAUGAAGUCGGAAUCGCUAGUAAUCGUGGAUCAGAAUGCCACGGUGAAUACGUUCCCGGGCCUUGUACACACCGCCCGUCACACCAUGGGAGUGGGUUGCAAAAGAAGUAGGUAGCUUAACCUUCGGGAGGGCGCUUACCACUUUGUGAUUCAUGACUGGGGUGAAGUCGUAACAAGGUAGGCGUAGUGCU
This 525-nucleotide ribosomal RNA is filed under the name uncultured bacterium. RNAcentral describes it as "bacterial SSU rRNA". It matches the Rfam family "Bacterial small subunit ribosomal RNA", at positions 984 to 1509 of the family's 1533-position model. The record is from RNAcentral.